Molecule: ribosomal RNA, 464 nt
Filed under: Brachythecium buchananii
Lineage: Eukaryota; Viridiplantae; Streptophyta; Bryopsida; Hypnales; Brachytheciaceae
Description: eukaryotic LSU rRNA
Rfam family: 5.8S ribosomal RNA (bases 1-119)
Source: RNAcentral
GAUGAAGAACGCAGCGAAAUGCGAUACGUAGUGUGAAUUGCAGAAUUCCGCGAAUCAUCGAGUCUUUGAACGCAAGUUGCGCCCGAGGCUUGUCCGAGGGCAUUUCCGCUAGAGCGUCACCGCGCCCCCCACCGAUCCGCUCCCGCCGCGAGGCGCCAGUCGGGUCGAGUGCAAGUGGCCGUCCCGGCGAAGUGGCCUUCUUUCACGAGGAGGCCGUCCUUGGAAGGGUCGGCUGAAAUGGAUGGAAUCGGGCCGCCGUGGUGACACAGUCCGCGAUCGGGUGAUUUUGUCGCGAGCCUCCUGCGCUGCGGGAGGCUCUUGGUGAAUUUUUCUAAGUGCUUGGCUGCGUCCCCCAGUUGGCUCGGGUUACCUCAUGCAGGUCGAGCGCGCCCCCGCGGCGCGCGUCACGCAUCAGACCUCUAAUCGGAAAAGACUACCCGCUGAGUUUAAGCAUAUCAAUAAGC